This 599-nucleotide ribosomal RNA is filed under the name uncultured Spiroplasma sp. Its description in RNAcentral is "bacterial SSU rRNA". It matches the Rfam family "Bacterial small subunit ribosomal RNA", at positions 132 to 719 of the family's 1533-position model. The record is from RNAcentral. Lineage: Bacteria; Bacillati; Mycoplasmatota; Mollicutes; Entomoplasmatales; Spiroplasmataceae.
UUNAGUGGGGAAUAACUGUUGGAAACGACAGCUAAUACCGCAUAAUAUUGCUGGAUAAUUUCCAGUAAUGAAAGGAGCUUUCAAGCUCCGCUGAUUGAUGAGGAUGCGGCGCAUUAGCUAGUUGGUAGGGUAAUGGCCUACCAAGGCAAUGAUGCGUAGCCGAUCUGAGAGGAUGAACGGCCACAUUGGGACUGAGACACGGCCCAAACUUCUACGGAAGGCAGCAGUAGGGAAUUUUUCACAAUGGGCGAAAGCCUGAUGGAGCAAUGCCGCGUGACUGAUGAAGGUCUUCGGAUUGUAAAGGUCUGUUGUAAGGGAAGAAAUGGUAAAACAGGAAAUGGUUUUAUCUAUGACGGUACCUUACCAGAAAGCCACGGCUAACUAUGUGCCAGCAGCCGCGGUAAUACAUAGGUGGCAAGCGUUAUCCGGAUUUAUUGGGCGUAAAGGGUGCGUAGACGGUUUUGCAAGUCUGANGUUAAAUUUAGGAGCUCAACUCCUAAUCGCCUUGGAAACUACNAGACUAGAGUAUAGGAGAGGUUAGUGGAAUUCCAUGUGUAGCGGUGGAAUGUGUAGAUAUAUGGAGGAACACCAGUGGCGAA